RNAcentral lists this ribosomal RNA (468 nucleotides) under uncultured bacterium. Its description in RNAcentral is "partial 16S ribosomal RNA". It matches the Rfam family "Bacterial small subunit ribosomal RNA", at positions 28 to 507 of the family's 1533-position model. The record is from RNAcentral.
GACGAACGCUGGCGGCGUGCUUAACACAUGCAAGUCGAACGGAAAGGCCCUGCUUUUGUGGGGUGCUCGAGUGGCGAACGGGUGAGUAACACGUGAGUAACCUGCCCUUGACUUUGGGAUAACUUCAGGAAACUGGGGCUAAUACCGGAUAGGAGCUCCUGCUGCAUGGUGGGGGUUGGAAAGUUUCGGCGGUUGGGGAUGGACUCGCGGCUUAUCAGCUUGUUGUUGGGGUAGUGGCUUACCAAGGCUUUGACGGGUAGCCGGCCUGAGAGGGUGACCGGCCACAUUGGGACUGAGAUACGGCCCAGACUCCUACGGGAGGCAGAAGUGGGGAAUAUUGCACAAUGGGCGGAAGCCUGAUGCAGCAACGCCGCGUGCGGGAUGACGGCCUUCGGGUUGUAAACCGCUUUCGCCUGUGACGAAGCGUGAGUGACGGUAAUGUGUAAAGAAGCACCGGCUAACUACGUG